This 341-nucleotide ribosomal RNA is filed under the name uncultured Neoheteromita. RNAcentral describes it as "bacterial SSU rRNA". The stretch from base 133 to 341 matches the Rfam family "Eukaryotic small subunit ribosomal RNA", at positions 749 to 955 of the family's 1831-position model. The record is from RNAcentral. Lineage: Eukaryota; Cercozoa; Glissomonadida; Viridiraptoridae.
GAUUUCUGGUAUAACAUUAUGGCCCGCCUUUUCUUCAUUGGGAGGUGAGUGCUGAAAUGUUUAUACUACAAAUUUUUACAAAUGCGUAGAUCUAUCCUUUACUGGAAUGGAUUUACGGUCAACAUUUGUAAUCAUUUACUUUGAAAAAAUUAGAGUGUUUAAAGCAGGCUUUUAUGCCAUUGAAUACAUUAGCAUGGAAUAAUAAAAUAGGACUUAUGUUCUUAUUUUAUUGGUUUAAGGAACUUAAGUAAUGAUUGAUAGGGAUAGUUGGGGGUGCUAGUAUUAAGCGGCCAGAGGUGAAAUUCUUGGAUUCGCUUAAGACUAACUACUGCGAAAGCAUU